CCUACGGGAGGCAGCAGUGGGGAAUAUUGUGCAAUGGGGGAAACCCUGACGCAGCAACGCCGCGUGAGUGAGGAAGGACUUCGGUCUGUAAAGCUCUGUUAAUGAGGAAAAAUGGUAGUUGGUCUAAUAGGCCGAUUAUUUGAUGGUACUCAUAGAGGAAGCACCGGCUAACUUCGUGCCAGCAGCCGCGGUAAUACGAAGGGUGCAAGCGUUGUUCGGAUUUAUUGGGCGUAAAGCGCGCGUAGGCGGACCUGCAAGUAAGAUGUGAAAUCUCGAGGCUCAACCUCGAAACUGCGUCUUAAACUACAGGUCUAGAAUCUCGGAGGGGGAAGGGGAAUUUCGCAUGUAGGGGUAAAAUCCGUAGAUAUGCGAAGGAACACCAGAAGCGAAGGCGCCUUCCUGGACGAGUAUUGACGCUGAGGCGCGAAAGCGUGGGGAUCAAACAGGAUUAGAUACCCUGGUAGUCCACGCUGUAAACGAUGAACACUAGGUAUUGGAGGAUUUGACCCCUUCAGUGCCGUAGCUAACGCGUUAAGUGUUCCGCCUGGGAAGUACGGUCGCAAGCUAAAACUCAAAGAUAGUAGCGNGNGAGACGCGACGACGACGACGAGGAGGAGGAG
RNAcentral lists this ribosomal RNA (620 nucleotides) under uncultured bacterium. RNAcentral describes it as "bacterial SSU rRNA". It matches the Rfam family "Bacterial small subunit ribosomal RNA", at positions 338 to 946 of the family's 1533-position model. The record is from RNAcentral.